GAUGGCGCCCGAAUGUUUCAGAAAAUAAUCGGCACGAGAAACACUUGUUAUUUUGCUCAUAACAGUUUUCCUUUACUAAAGUUGUUAUUAACAUGUUUAUAUAAUUCGUCCUUGAAAGAUGUGUUGGUAUGAGAAACCUUUGAAGAUUAUCUACCGAUUUAUAUGGCACUGUUAUUCAUCGUAGGAGUGGAAAAUUGAAAUUCCGAAAUUACCGAGAAAUUAAUACUCAUGUGAGCCAUGUCUAAAGGAUUUAGAAGAAAUGUAAAUGGUAUAAUAACUUAUGUGCAGCUGGAUAUCGUUGUAUUUAAUAUUUUGUGAAAUACUUAGGCAGAAAUCAGUCAAGAUUUCACUAUUUGAAACUAUAGCAGUAUGGCACCCUGUUUAUAAUAGUGAUAAAAAGCAUAAAAUGUGAGGGAUGUUGGUUUUUUUACAUUUUAAACACGCUAUAUUAAAAAAAAAUAUGAUGUACAUAAUUCAUAUUUCACAUCGUUCAGGUUGCUGUUCUUUAAAUGAAUUUUGAUUAGAGUUUCUGAAUGAGAUGCUGAAACAAUGUGAAAGUUGGGUAUUCUUUACUUUCAUGUGUUGUGAUGCAACAUCUCGGCACAUGGUGGUCAACUCUAAAAGGAAACACAGUUACCGGUGUGAGUAAAGUUUUAUGAUAUGUCUUGACCUCAUGUUUGCUGGCGAAUACAUGCAAUUUAGCCUCAUUUGCUCGCUCCCCAAGUCAUUAGUGUUGAUACAUGUAAUGUUGACCACCAUGUAUAACCCUAUGUAUAACACCUUGAUGUUACCAAUUGUUUACAUCAGAAGGUUACAUAUGUGCAGAACAGACUUACCGUCUGUUCAUCUCUAACCCAUUGAGUCGCAUUGUGCACUGAUGCGCCCUACUUUAUUAUUUUACUCUGUCUAACACCAGAUUAUUUUACUAUGUCUAAUGCUAUACAAUUUUACUCAUCAAGGGGAAACCUCUGGUACUUAGUGGGUUAACUGGCCUAUCUGCCCAUGAUGUGUCUAGUUAACCCAUGGAGUCACAUUGCACCCUACUUUAUUAUUUUCUGUCUAAUGCCAGAUGAUUUUAGUUGUCAAGGAGAGAGUUCUGGGUUAAUAUUUAAGUAGAAUUAGCCUCUUCCACAGGCAACUCUGUAUUGUUUUGUAUAAUAGGCAACUCUGUAUUGUUUUGUAAUAAUACAAAAUGCAUUUACAAUACAAAACAAAUAAGAGUUGAAAAUUUGUUAUACAAAACAAUACAGAGUUGCAGGCAGAAAUAGAAUAUGGAGGCAAAAAUAGAAUAUGGAGGCAAAAAUAGAAUAUGAUUUAUAACAGCAGAUAACAUUGAAUUGUAGAAAUCGAAGAAAAAUAUAACAUUCAAACAAUUGAUGUAAACAGUGUAUUUUUCAGUCUUCAAUAUAUCCACAUUUAUCAAAUGUUCAUAUUUUACCAUUAUUUGUCUGACACUCCGGGGCUUAACACUGAUACAUGUAGGAUAAUCUAUGCUGAAAAAACUGGAGGUAAACAGUUGGGGGCUGGAAAAAUUCUUCAGGAGGGCCUUUACAUGCAGC
Paramuricea clavata is the source of this 1559-nucleotide non-coding RNA. Lineage: Eukaryota; Metazoa; Cnidaria; Anthozoa; Malacalcyonacea; Plexauridae. The record is from the annotation of a GenBank genome assembly.